UAUUAUACUAAAAAUAAAUAUUAAAAGUUAAAUUAUUAAUAGUUAUAAUCUUUAAAAUUAAAGAAUUUGGCGGUAAUUUAGUCUUGUUAGAGGAACCUGUCUAUUAAAUCGAUAAACCACGUAAUAUUUUACUUACUUUAUUAAUAGUUUGUAUACCAUCAUUAACAGAUAAUUUUUAUAGAAUAUAAUUAUUAUAUUUAUAUUUAUUCGUAAAAUUAGAUCAAGGUGCAGCUUAUAAGUAUGCUAGGAUGGGUUACAAUAAGUUAAACUUAUUACGGAGUAAUAGAUGAAAAUUGUUAUGAAGGAGGAUUUAAUUGUAAUAUAAAAUUUAGUAAGUUUAUAUGAUAUAAGCUCUAAAUUAU
RNAcentral lists this ribosomal RNA (362 nucleotides) under Frevillea barbata. Its description in RNAcentral is "partial 12S ribosomal RNA". Lineage: Eukaryota; Metazoa; Arthropoda; Malacostraca; Decapoda; Euryplacidae. The record is from RNAcentral.